GACGAACGCUGGCGGCGUGCCUAAUACAUGCAAGUCGAACGAGUGGCGGACGGGUGAGUACUGUCUGGGAAACUGCCCGAUGGAGGGGGAUAACUACUGGAAACGGUAGCUCAUACCGCAUACCAUCGGAUGUGCCCCGAUGGGAUUAGCUAGUAGGUGGGGUAACGGCUCACCGAGGCGACGAUCCCUAGCUGGUCUGAGAGGAUGACCAGCCACACUGGAACGUAGACAGGGUCCAGACUCCUACGGGAGGCAGCAGUGGGGAAUAUUGCACAAUGGGCGAAAGCCUGAUGCAGCCAUGCCGCGUGUAUGAAGAAGGCCGUCGGGUUGUAAAGUACUUUCAGCGAGGAGGCGUUACUCGCAGAAGAAGCACCGGCUAACUCCGUGCCAGCAGCCGCGGUAAUAC
RNAcentral lists this ribosomal RNA (406 nucleotides) under uncultured bacterium. Its description in RNAcentral is "partial 16S ribosomal RNA". It matches the Rfam family "Bacterial small subunit ribosomal RNA", at positions 28 to 526 of the family's 1533-position model. The record is from RNAcentral.